RNAcentral lists this ribosomal RNA (253 nucleotides) under uncultured bacterium. RNAcentral describes it as "partial 16S ribosomal RNA". It matches the Rfam family "Bacterial small subunit ribosomal RNA", at positions 524 to 776 of the family's 1533-position model. The record is from RNAcentral.
GACGUAGGGGGCCAGCGUUGUUCGGAAUUACUGGGUGUAAAGGGUUCGUAGGCGGUGUGGCAAGUUGGGAGUGAAAUCUCUGGGCUCAACCCAGAGGCUGCUUCCAAAACUGCCAUGCUUGAGUGUGGGAGAGGCGCGUGGAAUUGCAGGUGUAGCGGUGAAAUGCGUAGAUAUCUGCAGGAACACCCGUGGCGAAGGCGGCCCUCUGGCUCGUUGCUGACGCUGAAACGCGAAAGCGUGGGGAGCAAACAGG